CAACCCCUCAAGCCUCCCCGGAGGGGCUUGGUGUUAGGGACCGGCUACGCCCCAUCGCGGGUCGCCGCCCCCGAAAUACAGUGGCGGCCUCGCCGUAGCUUCCCCUGCGUAGUAGCCUGAAACCUCGCACCGGAGCGCGGCGUGGCCAUGCCGUUAAGGACCCGACUUGCCCACAA
This 176-nucleotide unclassified non-coding RNA is filed under the name uncultured Hypocreales. RNAcentral describes it as "sequence contains ITS2". Lineage: Eukaryota; Fungi; Ascomycota; Sordariomycetes; Hypocreales. The record is from RNAcentral.